RNAcentral lists this ribosomal RNA (402 nucleotides) under Polychrus liogaster (Boulenger's bush anole). RNAcentral describes it as "partial 12S ribosomal RNA". It matches the Rfam family "Bacterial small subunit ribosomal RNA", at positions 783 to 1392 of the family's 1533-position model. The record is from RNAcentral. Lineage: Eukaryota; Metazoa; Chordata; Lepidosauria; Squamata; Polychrotidae.
UACCCCACUAUGCUUAGUUAUAAACACGAUGCUACUUAAACAACAGCCUCCGCCAGAGGAUUACUAGCGAAAAGCUUGAAACUCAAAGGACUUGGCGGUGCUCCAUAUCGUCUUAGAGGAGCCUGUCCUAUAAUCGAUACCCCACGUUAAACCUCACCAUCUUUCGCUCUCAGCCUAUAUACCGCCGUCGUAAACUCACCCCACAAGGGCACAACAGUAAGUAUAACGGACCCCCCAAGAACGUCAGGUCAAGGUGUAGCUAAUAAGAUGGCAGAGAUGGGCUACAUUUUUUAAACUAAAACACAACGGCACGGAAUUAUGAAACAACCCCUUAAGGCGGAUUUAAUAGUAAGUCGGGCAAGAAAGCCCCCCUUAAACUCGCUCUGGAGCGCGCACACACCG